This is a long non-coding RNA of Mauremys mutica (yellowpond turtle), 875 nucleotides long. RefSeq lists it as uncharacterized. NCBI's taxonomy places the organism in Eukaryota, Metazoa, Chordata, Testudines, Geoemydidae. The transcript is spliced from 6 exons. The record is from RefSeq and is a predicted model, not a curated record.
GGCAUAUUGGGUCCUCGUUGCAUAAAUUGCUUCGGUAUUCUCUGAUGAAAGCAACUACAAAAAUGGAAAGUGUUAUUUACUCAGAAGAAAGGAACUGCCACAUAGAUGGACCCCAGGUCUGAUCCAAAGUCCAGUAUCUUUUCUCUGACAACGGCCACCACCAGAUACUUCAGAAGAAGAUACAAGAUACCCCACAGAAGGUGUCCCAAAAGGGUCAGUUCAGCGAUAGACUGAAGGAGGCUAGCCCAUGGAAGAUUCUAAGUGACCCACAUUAAAAUUCUGUUACCAAAUUGAAUGGCAGGUUAGAAUGAUUUCUCUGUCUCCACUGGACUUAACCCCAACCUCUGCAAACUGCUAGAUCUGACAAAAAUAUCCCAAAACCCAUUGGCCUGUGAUCAGGUCCAGCAAAUCCAUCACAUCCAGGAAGAACUCAAGGAACACCUAGCGGAGGCAAAGGAGGCCUACAAACAACAUGUGGACCGCAAGAGACAGAAGAGGCUGGAAUUCAAGACAGGUCACUCAAAAUACACUGCAUUUCUGUGAAGGGCUUCUGAAGAGAGAACACAUUUCCAAGCUGAAUGCAACCACUCUGACACCUACCCAGGUCCAGGUCCAUGAAGACCCCAUGAUCAAGCAGGACAGUGGAAAAGGGGGGAAAAACAGUGAAAGCUGAUUUCAGCCUGAGGAAGAAAACUGGAAAAUAGAAUGUUGAAGGUUUAAUUUUUUUUUUUACCUGAUCAUUGCCAACACAUUCCAGUAGCCUUUAAGCAGAAAUGCAGAAUGUGUGAUUAAACAGAAAUAUUUUGAAAAGUCUACACCCAGAAGUUGAUUUACUGUCUUCCUGAUACGCUGGUAUUCUGACUGCUUAGCACAUU